ACUCCUACGGGAGGCAGCAGUGAGGAAUCUUCCACAAUGGACGAAAGUCUGAUGGAGCGACACCGCGUGAAGGAUGAAGGCCUAACGGUUGUAAACUUCUUUUCUGAAGGAGCAUAAUGAGAGUACUUCAGGAAUAAGGGACGGCUAAAUACGUGCCAGCAGCCGCGGUAAUACGUAUGUCUCAAGCGUUACCCGGAAUCACUGGGUGUAAAGGGUUCGUAGGCGGAAAUUUAAGUCAGGUAUGAAAGACCGGAGCUCAACUCCGAGUUUGUGCUUGAAACUGGAUUUCUAGAAUUAGGGAGAGGUAAGCGGAAUUCUAAGUGUAGGGGUGCAAUCCGUAGAUACUUAGAGGAACACCAAAAGCGAAGGCAGCUUACUGGAACUAUAUUGACGCUGAUGAACGAAAGCGU
RNAcentral lists this ribosomal RNA (410 nucleotides) under uncultured bacterium. RNAcentral's name for it is "bacterial SSU rRNA". It matches the Rfam family "Bacterial small subunit ribosomal RNA", at positions 335 to 762 of the family's 1533-position model. The record is from RNAcentral.